RNAcentral lists this ribosomal RNA (327 nucleotides) under uncultured eukaryote. Its description in RNAcentral is "partial 18S ribosomal RNA". It matches the Rfam family "Eukaryotic small subunit ribosomal RNA", at positions 1470 to 1796 of the family's 1831-position model. The record is from RNAcentral.
CCCCUAGAUGUUCUGGGCCGCACGCGCGCUACACUGAACAGUUCAACAAGUCUUAACCUUGGCCGAUAGGUCUGGGUAAUCUUUGAACGCUGUUCGUGAUUGGGAUAGACCUUUGCAAUUAUGGGUCUUCAACGAGGAAUUCCUAGUAAGCGCAAGUCAUAAGCUUGCGUUGAUUACGUCCCUGCCCUUUGUACACACCGCCCGUCGCUACUACCGAUUGAACGUUUUAGUGAGGUAUUUGGACUGGACCUUCGGAGGUUCGCGCCUCCGUUGCUGUUCGGGAAGACUCCCAAACUUGAGCGUUUAGAGGAAGUAAAANUCGUANCA